Molecule: ribosomal RNA, 407 nt
Filed under: uncultured bacterium
Lineage: Bacteria
Description: partial 16S ribosomal RNA
Rfam family: Bacterial small subunit ribosomal RNA
Source: RNAcentral
AUUGAACGCUGGCGGCAGGCCUAACACAUGCAAGUCGAGCGGAGCGGCGGACGGGUGAGUACUGCCUAGGAAUCUGCCUGUUGGUGGGGGAUCCCUUCCGGAAACGGGCGCUUAUACCGCAUACUAUCACAUGAGCCUAGGUCGGAUUAGCUAGUUGGUGGGGUAAAGGCCUACAAAGGCGACGAUCCGUAACUGGUCUGAGAGGAUGAUCAGUCACACUGGAACUGAGACAGGGUCCAGACUCCUACGGGAGGCAGCAGUGGGGAAUAUUGGAUAAUGGGCGAAAGCCUGAUCCAGCCAUGAAGCGGGGGUGAAGAAAGUCUUCGGAUUGUAAAGAACUUUAAAUUGAGAGGCGAAGCCAAAAGGAUAAGCACCGGCGAACUUCGUGCCAGCAGCCGCGGUAAUAC